This 409-nucleotide ribosomal RNA is filed under the name bacterium. RNAcentral describes it as "partial 16S ribosomal RNA". It matches the Rfam family "Bacterial small subunit ribosomal RNA", at positions 355 to 776 of the family's 1533-position model. The record is from RNAcentral.
UGGGGAAUAUUGCACAAUGGGCGAAAGCCUGAUGCAGCGACGCCGCGUGAGGGAUGACGGCCUUCGGGUUGUAAACCUCUUUCAGCAGGGACGAAGCGCAAGUGACGGUACCUGCAGAAGAAGCACCGGCUAACUACGUGCCAGCAGCCGCGGUAAUACGUAGGGUGCAAGCGUUGUCCGGAAUUACUGGGCGUAAAGAGUUCGUAGGCGGUUUGUCGCGUCGUUUGUGAAAACCAGCAGCUCAACUGCUGGCUUGCAGGCGAUACGGGCAGACUUGAGUACUGCAGGGGGGGCUGGAAUUCCUGGUGUAGCGGUGAAAUGCGCAGAUAUCAGGGGGAACACCGGUGGCGAAGGCGGGUCUCUGGGCAGUAACUGACGCUGAGGAACGAAAGCGUGGGUAGCGAACAGG